Molecule: ribosomal RNA, 492 nt
Filed under: uncultured bacterium
Lineage: Bacteria
Description: partial 16S ribosomal RNA
Rfam family: Bacterial small subunit ribosomal RNA
Source: RNAcentral
AGUGAACGCUGGCGGUAGGCCUAACACAUGCAAGUCGAACGGCAGCACAGUAAGAGCUUGCUCUUACGGGUGGCGAGUGGCGGACGGGUGAGGAAUACAUCGGAAUCUACUUUUUCGUGGGGGAUAACGUAGGGAAACUUACGCUAAUACCGCAUAUGACCUACGGGUGAAAGCAGGGGAUCUUCGGACCUUGCGCGAUUGAAUGAGCCGAUGUCGGAUUAGCUAGUUGGCGGGGUAAAGGCCCACCAAGGCGACGAUCCGUAGCUGGUCUGAGAGGAUGAUCAGCCACACUGGAACUGAGACACGGUCCAGACUCCUACGGGAGGCAGCAGUAGGGAAUAUUGGACAAUGGGCGCAAGCCUGAUCCAGCCAUACCGCGUGGGUGAAGAAGGCCUUCGGGUUGUAAAGCCCUUUUGUUGGGGAAGAACAGCAGCAGGUUAAUCCCCCGCUGUUCUGACGGUACCCAAAGAAUAAGCACCGGCUAACUUUGUG